Arachis ipaensis is the source of this 494-nucleotide non-coding RNA. Lineage: Eukaryota; Viridiplantae; Streptophyta; Magnoliopsida; Fabales; Fabaceae. The record is from RefSeq and is a predicted model, not a curated record.
UGGAGGAGCUUGGCGGUGGUGGUUGCAAUGGUCGUGGUGGAGUUCGUGGUGGUUAUUAAUAUGGUGGUGGUUGGUACGGAAGAGGAAGAAGAGAGUAGAUCGGAGAAAGAAUUGAGCGGCAGGCACAGAGAGCACAUGCAGCGAGACUAAGAAAGCAGAGAGCACAGCAGCAGCAACAAGAACAUAGCGGUGAGAUCUAACCGGUAGCCAAUCCAGCUGCGGGUUCUGUAACCUUCAGCAGCUUUAUGUGAUCUUUUCUGUGAAGCAUACUCUGAUACUUCUGCAACGCAGAAUCGCUCAUCUCCCCUCAAAGAUAUCAUACUAUACAGUAUCCAGGAAACAACAAAUUUUGUCAGAAGUUGUGUAUUUUGUUCAAUGGGGUCAUCUUUUUCAGUAAGUUGUGUUUUUCUAUUUGUUUUAUACUGCUAACUUUCAGUUAUUUAAAAUUUAAAUUUUGAAUUUAAAAUUAAGUUGAAAAGAAGAGAUUCAUUUUU